This 3776-nucleotide long non-coding RNA is filed under the name Schizosaccharomyces pombe (fission yeast). RNAcentral's name for it is "cis-acting lincRNA Ste11 repressor". Lineage: Eukaryota; Fungi; Ascomycota; Schizosaccharomycetes; Schizosaccharomycetales; Schizosaccharomycetaceae. The record is from RNAcentral.
CUAUUAACCUGGGCUUUUGUAAGAAUUGAGCGAGCGACCAGCAAAACAAGGUUGAGCUUAAAAGGUGGAUGACCCGCCGAGUCAGAAAAUGGCGGCCGGCAAGAUGCAGAGAGGAAGGAGACGAUAGGAAGGAGAGAUGGGAGAAAGUAGAGGUAAAGAUGAAGAUGAAGAUGUAGAUUAGUUAUAGAUGAAGACGAGUUUUGAAUGAAAAAGGUUACUACUGAACGAUAACGAAUUUAAUUUGAAAACGAAUAUAAUUUUUUGAAAACGACUAUACUUUGAAAAUAACCUAAACCGAUAAAUUUAUAGCUAAAAACUUCACAAAUUGUAUUGUGGAAUGUUUUCUUACAUAUCACCAAAAUUGCAUCCUUUUGGAACUGGACUCUGCUAGCCAACUGUGCUUAUCAUUGUUGACUUGUAUAAUCCCUCAUUGCGGCUAAUCGAUGUUGGAUAGACAGUAAAUGAAAAAAAUGGAGAAAAACAAUUUGGUGAAAAAAUUGACCAUCCUAUAUAUGGGUGACUCUUGAUCAUAUGUAUAUCUCUGAUCAUAUGUGUCUUUGACCAUAUGUAUCUUUAAAAAUGCUAUAGUGUUUUACAAGCGUAACUUAUUAAAUUUCUACCAACCCAUUUUAUUGUCAUAUCCAUUCUCCUCUAGUAUCUAUUCUAUCUUACUACUUCUUCCUAUUCUACUCGAAUAAACUUGCCGAUUAACUUUUUGCUCUAGAGCCGAGUCCACUUUUGAAGCGGGGCUUUUUCUCAACAAAAUGACAUUUUCUCUUCAACUGCGAAAUCAAACCAUUCUUUUUUCUACUGUUGCUUCAGCCACCAAUCUGAUUACGAUACAAUCUCAAAUGGCGCUGCUCAGUAUCAACUUGCCGGCAAACUUCGUACCAUCCAAAUUAAAUCAACAGCAACCAUACAAUGUAAUGAUAUAUACGCGACAACUUAUCCGGACAAGUGUACUGUUUUUUAGUGUUGUAUUCCUAUCUACUAUCUAUAAAAAGAAUUACAAAUUUCAUGAAUUAUUAUGCAACUAAGAACGAAACGCACUUUUUACAACUUCCUUGUUUUGUCUUACCUUACUCUGUGUAAUACGUAUUUUUUUCAAGUGGGCGCCCACAACUGUAGGUGAGAAGAGUGAUGGUCAUUUUGUAACUAUGAUGGCAACAAGCUCAAAUAACGUUGCCUUGGUACAUUUAGGGACAUAUUUUUUUUUUCCAGUUCAGUAGUAUCUAAGCCUACCUUGAAAUCCCACGCACAACCUUAAAAAUAGUACACUUUAUACCACAUACUCUAAUGCUGCCGGAUGCACUUUUCCGGUUGAGCGUUGCAACUUCAUUUUAUAUAUUUCGCUGUUGACGAUGAAUGUGUCUUAAAUUGACGUACAAAAAAAAUAUAUUAGGUUGCAAAUUAUUACACCAUUAGUCGUUGUUGGAUUGCGUUCACGUUAGAAUGUGCUAUUUCCUUGAAGUGGAGGAAUUCAGGGGAUGGUUAGUUUGAAGUUGGAGGAGAUUCAAGGAGGAGCGAAUGGAUGAAAUACAAUUAAAUGAAUAGCCGAUUUGCUGGAGAGCAAUUCGAUAAAACUGGUAAUGAGCGAGAAAACGGCGCAAAUUAUUUUAAAAAAAAAAAAAAAAAAAAGAAAAAAGAAAAACAAAUGCAAUACUCAAAAUAUGGUGGUCCAUCAGUGGCAAGCAAUCUUACACUGCGAUGUAUUUCUUGGUGAUAGACAUCCAGUGCAUUUCAAGAUGCAUGCAAUUCACAGAUAGGUACUGAUAUUGAAUAUGCAAUCCACAGAUGCAUUGUCCACGGAAAACUCAGACACCUAGAUAAAUUCACAAUAUACCACAAUCCCAUGGAUAGCUCGUGAACUCUCCAAUUUCCCCUUGUCAACCCUUUUUAAUUGCGCAUCCGUCUCUCCAGACGACUUGUCACGAGAGACCACCACAUAGAGCAACGUGGGGUUACUCUCGCCUUUCUUAUCCCACUAGUCAAUCUUUUAAUAUCCUUGAUGUGGGAUGCCAAAACCUUUGGUGGGGGCAUCAUACUCCCGGGGGGCAGUAUUCUCGUACUAGCUCUUGAAAUAUAUUCUCAGUUCUACCAUCUGAGUAUUGAGUUUUCCAUGUGGGGUGUUCAUCCCUUUGUGGGGUAGCAAGAAUACGGUGAUCUUCCUCCUGAGUGCAAACCGUUGAUACACUAUUUUUUGGCUCCAAGUGGGUCCAAAUAGGAUCAAGUGGGGGGAGGGGUUUCCAGUUCAAAAUAUACCAUUUCACUAUAGACACUACUAUAUCCCAUUUGAAUUUCGCUCUAUUUCCCCAUAUUCUACUGCACCUUCUAACAUGGCUUUAACAGCUCAGUUACGAUAACGGCCAAGCUAUCGUGAAAUGUGUUACUGGUGCACUAUGAUCCUUAACAAUAUCCAUAUUUCCAUGUUUAAACAAACAAACUGAUAAAUAAAUAAAUAAUAUUGCAUGCUCUUUAUCUGUGUAUCAUUGGCAUGCAUUAUCAGCAUGGACUCAUAAUCAUACUUGCCUACUGAUAUUUGAUUUUCGCCAAUAUCCCUUAUUCAAAUUUGAUACUCUGCUUUUCGCCAUCUCGCAUAUAUUUUCUUCCAUUAGCAACUUCAAAACACAUUUGCUAUCGUUUUAAGGUCUCCCCGUAUCCCUCUAAUUCGGUAAAGCUAUCUCUCGCCUAUGUUACCUUAAAUUUUCUUCCUUGCUAUUUUCCUUCGCUACACUAAACUCGUUUCGCAUGUUAGAUAUAUUUUUAUUUCGUACGAAUCCAACAUUCGGCAUUCCUUCUUAAUUCUUUGACUACUUCAGCAUCGUAGCUCACGUGAAACUUGCAAGAGGAACACACUCCCUCGUCAUCUACCUUGUGUCUUCUAUAAUUAUUUGAAUCGGUAAAUACUCGCACUUUGCCACACUUUGGUUAUGUACUCGUCGAUACCUCUCUUAUUGCACUCUUUCUUUGUUGCACCUUUUUCAAAUGCGGAACACCAACUCCCGCCUUUUCUUUCGCUAAAUACACGAUUCAAUGCCGCCUUGUAACUUGUAAGCAUCAUACAAAGACAUUGUUUUCCACUGUUUGUUCGUCUUCAAUGUGAAAUGCGAAUGUAGAUCUUAAGGGGGUUCUCCAAGUCAUUUGAAUCCGAGUAUAAUUUUCCAAAGCACUGAUAGAUCUCUGAGAAUUUUAUCAGUUUCUAUUGUUGAUCUUUCUCUGACAAAACUUUCACAUUAUACCACCCUCAACCUCGUUUCUGCUCAUAUGCGUAGGCGAAUAUGAGUGACUGGCCAUAAUGGUUAAUAGUGCUUAUCCCCAGUUUGCAUAUUUUCCCAUAAACAAUAUGUUUAUUGGUGUUUCUCACUGAUAAAUGUCGGAUGAUCAAGCGUAAUUUUUCGGCAUUGAACAAAUGAAGCUUCUUUCUCUCUUUCCAUAACUAUGUCAAUUUUAAAAAAAGAAAACCCCAGUGAAAAAAAUAUUUUUUAGUGGGAAACAACUAUCUGUCAUCCAUUUGCAAUUCUUUUUUAUGACUAUAAAAUCUUAGUUGUUUUUUUUCGCGUAUGUUCAAAAUUGUCUAUAAUGUAUCACAUGUCUGAAAUAUUUUAUCGAAUACAUACUUGUAUAACUCCCAUAUCUUGUGCAUAAAAAAAGGUACUCGGCUGGACAAUAUAGGUACCGCGACUCAUAAAAUUGAAUAGAACUAUUACCUACCAAGAUUCCUGUUUAACAGAAUAAUCGCAACUUUAUAAAGACAUGAUAGAAAUCCAUAACCUUAC